GGAAGUAAAAGUCGUAAUAAGGUUUCCGUAGGUGAACCUGCGGAAGGAUCAUUAUUGGAUUUUGAAACUUCAGGCUGCUGCUGGCUCUCCUCGGAGGGCAUGUGCACGCUUGUUGUCCAUUAUUUCUCCCACUGUGCACAAAUUGUAGACCUUUCAGUAGGCCUAUGUUGUUUUUCACAAUCUCUGAAUGUAAUAGAAUGGUUUUGAAUCUUGGGAAAUACAAUACAACUUUCAGCAACGGAUCUCUUGGCUCUC
This 255-nucleotide unclassified non-coding RNA is filed under the name plant metagenome. Its description in RNAcentral is "partial contains small subunit ribosomal RNA, internal transcribed spacer 1, and 5.8S ribosomal RNA". The stretch from base 1 to 54 matches the Rfam family "Eukaryotic small subunit ribosomal RNA", at positions 1778 to 1831 of the family's 1831-position model. The record is from RNAcentral.